RNAcentral lists this non-coding RNA (104 nucleotides) under Paraburkholderia caribensis. RNAcentral describes it as "SAM-I-IV-variant". It matches the Rfam family "SAM-I/IV (S-adenosyl methionine) riboswitch aptamer". From Rfam's summary of the family: It is found upstream of a number of genes which code for proteins involved in methionine or cysteine biosynthesis. It has been found mostly in the order Actinomycetales. The record is from RNAcentral. Lineage: Bacteria; Pseudomonadati; Pseudomonadota; Betaproteobacteria; Burkholderiales; Burkholderiaceae.
CCUGUUCAUCCUGAAUUGGGUCGACGCCCAUGCCAACCUGCCCGCCCCGGCAAGGUGGAUCGCGCAAGCGGAUGCGGCUCGGCAGAGCAACCAAAGGGUAACGC